UUAGUACUCCCUCCGUCCCAAAAGGCUUGUCUUAGAUUUGUCAGAUACGGAUGUAUCUAGACUCAUUUUAGUGUUAGAUACAUCAGUAUCUAGAUAAAUCUAAGACGAGUUUUUUGGGACAGAGGUAGUUAGUA
Molecule: non-coding RNA, 134 nt
Organism: Hordeum vulgare subsp. vulgare (domesticated barley)
Lineage: Eukaryota; Viridiplantae; Streptophyta; Magnoliopsida; Poales; Poaceae
Source: Rfam